This 524-nucleotide ribosomal RNA is filed under the name uncultured bacterium. Its description in RNAcentral is "partial 16S ribosomal RNA". It matches the Rfam family "Bacterial small subunit ribosomal RNA", at positions 28 to 523 of the family's 1533-position model. The record is from RNAcentral.
GACGAACGCUGGCGGCGUGCCUAAUACAUGCAAGUCGAGCGCGGGAAAUCGACGGAACCCUUCGGGGGGAAGUCGACGGAAUGAGCGGCGGACGGGUGAGUAACACGUAAAGAACCUGCCCUCAGGUCUGGGAUAACCACGAGAAAUCGGGGCUAAUACCGGAUGGGUCAUCGGACCGCAUGGUCCGAGGAUGAAAGGCGCUUCGGCGUCGCCUGGGGAUGGCUUUGCGGUGCAUUAGCUAGUUGGUGGGGUAAUGGCCCACCAAGGCGACGAUGCAUAGCCGACCUGAGAGGGUGAUCGGCCACACUGGGACUGAGACACGGCCCAGACUCCUACGGGAGGCAGCAGUAGGGAAUCUUCCACAAUGGACGAAAGUCUGAUGGAGCAACGCCGCGUGAACGAUGAAGGCCUUCGGGUCGUAAAGUUCUGUUGUAAGGGAAGAACAAGUGCCGCAGGCAAUGGCGGCACCUUGACGGUACCUUGCGAGAAAGCCACGGCUAACUACGUGCCAGCAGCCGCCGCGG